UUAAGGAAAGAGUAGGCUUAUAGCACGAAGGGUGCGGGGAGGAAAGUCCAGGCACUUUAGAGAAGGUAGCCUGCGUAAGCAGGUCGGGAGAGAUCCCAGGGAUAGUGGCACAGAGACAAUACAGCCCCGCACCCUUUGUUGACUGAUUAGCAUCAGGGUACGAUUUAUUUACAUACUUGGUUAUAAUAUCAAGUUUGAUAAUUAGGUCGGUAUAAGCCAAAAUGGCUUGUCAACAAAGGGUGCGGGGCAAUGGUGAAAAGAGUUGGUGUAAGAGACCACAAUCCGGCGCUGGAAGGCGCCGUGAGUGCAAAACUCCUGCUUGGUGCAAGUCGGGUGGGUCAAUAUUUUCAAGCAUGAACUCAUACUUCGAAAGAGGCAAAAGUUCUCCGCAGCUUUAUUCUAAAGCGAAGAUAUUGAUCCCGACGCGCCUAUAAUAGGCCCCUUAGGGGAGAUAAAUAGCCGCAUAAACAGAACCUGGCUUAUCGUCCAGUUGAGCAA
RNAcentral lists this RNase P RNA (498 nucleotides) under Candidatus Berkelbacteria bacterium CG10_big_fil_rev_8_21_14_0_10_41_12. RNAcentral's name for it is "RNase P RNA component class A". It matches the Rfam family "Bacterial RNase P class A". From Rfam's summary of the family: Ribonuclease P (RNase P) is a ubiquitous endoribonuclease, found in archaea, bacteria and eukarya as well as chloroplasts and mitochondria. Its best characterised activity is the generation of mature 5'-ends of tRNAs by cleaving the 5'-leader elements of precursor-tRNAs. Cellular RNase Ps are ribonucleoproteins. Lineage: Bacteria; Candidatus Berkelbacteria. The record is from RNAcentral.